This 70-nucleotide ribosomal RNA is filed under the name Staphylococcus sp. RNAcentral describes it as "partial 16S ribosomal RNA". It matches the Rfam family "Bacterial small subunit ribosomal RNA", at positions 1 to 65 of the family's 1533-position model. The record is from RNAcentral. Lineage: Bacteria; Bacillati; Bacillota; Bacilli; Caryophanales; Staphylococcaceae. RNAcentral also lists the same sequence under 1 other name.
AAUUUUUUAUGGAGAGUUUGAUCCUGGCUCAGGAUGAACGCUGGCGGCGUGCCUAAUACAUGCAAGUCGA